GACGAACGCUGGCGGCGUGCUUAACACAUGCAAGUCGAACGGAAAGGCCUGCUUUCCCUUGUGGAUUGCGGGUACUCGAGUGGCGAACGGGUGAGUAACACGUGAGUGAUCUGCCCCCAACUUGGGUAUAAGCCUGGGAAACUGGGUCUAAUUCCCGAUAGGACUGCAGGGUGGUGCCUGUGGUGGAACACGAUUUUCUAGUGGUUGGGGAUGGGCUCGCGGCCUAUCAGCUUGUUGGUGGGGUAAUGGCCUACCAAGGCGGCGACGGGUAGCCGGCCUGAGAGGGUGGACGGCCACAUUGGGACUGGGAUACGGCCCAGACUCCUGCGGGAGGCAGCAGUGGGGAAUAAUGCAGAAUGGGCGGAAGCCUGAUGCAGCGACGCCGCGUGGGGGAUGACGGCCUUCGGGUUGUAAACUCCUUUCGACCGCGAGGAAGCCACCUGGUUGGAAGGGUGGUGACGGUAGUGGUAGAAGAAGCACCGGCUAACUACGUG
Molecule: ribosomal RNA, 494 nt
Filed under: uncultured bacterium
Lineage: Bacteria
Description: partial 16S ribosomal RNA
Rfam family: Bacterial small subunit ribosomal RNA
Source: RNAcentral